This is a long non-coding RNA of Mugil cephalus (flathead mullet), 994 nucleotides long. RefSeq lists it as uncharacterized. The record is from RefSeq and is a predicted model, not a curated record. NCBI's taxonomy places the organism in Eukaryota, Metazoa, Chordata, Actinopteri, Mugiliformes, Mugilidae. The transcript has 5 exons.
UGGACUACACAGAAGGAGCACAUCCCUGCAAGGUCUAACCCUGUUUCUUCGCGAGGAUUCAGAGAACUUCUUCAGGACAUGCUUGCCAUGUGCCACUGCUGUGGACAUUAAUACUGCAGAACUCCCCAGCACCCCCUGCUUGAUCAUUCAAGGUGACAUGAUGAAGCCCUCUGGAAGGCUUACAUGUAAUGAUGGGCCCACACCCUUUAUUGUUACACGGAGUAGCUGCUUUCUUCAGCAGCUAUUACGUCUUCAACCUCGAGUGUUCUGCCACUGGAUCGUCGACGCUGGAGUUCAUUCAAAGCCCAACAGGCCAUCUGGGGACUUUGAACUGCAAAACAUCCCACCAGGAUAAACGGUGUUAAAACUCCUAUCAACAUCCUGACAUUCUGGGUACCCUGGGUAUGGACAGCCAAAGAGAGGUUCAAUGGGCCCUGUGAUCAUGUCUGAAUUAAGAUAAGUGACGCAAGGAGAGUGAGUCAGAGCGACACUGUUCCUCUGUGGGUGCACAAACGAGGAGGUUGUCCACGCACUGAAUGAGAGCAGAGCCCUUUGUUAGAAAGAACACAUGACUUGAAAGAGUGCUCUAAUCUUACAGAGAUUUUUUUUUUCCUAAGUUUAUAAACUAUCUUUCCAGGCUAUGUGAGAACUAGUGGAAUGCCAAAUUCUUCCCAUCUUUUCGAACUUUGCUUUGAACUACAUGACUGUGAAUUAUACCAUGGAGCUACCCUCCUCCGAUUUAUCACCAUUUUCAGAGGAGCAAUUCCAUUUAAAGUUGUACUGAGUGAUGCUGUCGUACUAUCAACAAAAUAAUGUUUUUGUGUUGGAGUUAGAUUGUGGUUGCUGGCAUCCACAUCUCUGACAUAAGGCACUGAGGUAAAUACAUGAAGGAAUUAUUCCUUAUAUCUAGUUAGGAAAGUCUUUCUCAUUUCAGUGUAAUCCCAUAUUGUGAAUUCAAAUGUAACAAGGAAAUUAUCAGACAAAGGAGAGUUAU